Molecule: ribosomal RNA, 253 nt
Filed under: uncultured bacterium
Lineage: Bacteria
Description: partial 16S ribosomal RNA
Rfam family: Bacterial small subunit ribosomal RNA
Source: RNAcentral
GACGUAGGGCGCGAGCGUUGUCCGGAUUUAUUGGGCGUAAAGAGCUCGUAGGCGGCUCGUUGCGUCGGCUGUGAAAACCCGCAGCUCAACUGUGGGCUUGCAGCUGAUACGGGCGGGCUGGGAUUCGGUAGGGGAGACUGGAAUUCCUGGUGUAGCGGUGAAAUGCGUAGAUAUUAGGAGGAACACCUGCGGUGUAGACAGCUUUCUGGACCACUUCUGACGCUGAGACACGAAAGCGUGGGUAGCAAACAGG